CGCCUAAGGAUGGGUCUGCGGCCUAUCAGGUAGUAGUGGGUGUAGCGUACCUACUAGCCUACGACGGGUACGGGUUGUGAGAGCAAGAGCCCGGAGAUGGAUUCUGAGACACGAAUCCAGGCCCUACGGGGUGCAGCAGGCGCGAAAACUUUACAAUGCUGGCAACAGCGAUAAGGGAACCUCGAGUGCCAGGUUACAAAUCUGGCUGUCGAGAUGCCUAAAAAGCAUUUCAUAGCAAGGGCCGGGCAAGACCGGUGCCAGCCGCCGCGGUAACACCGGCGGCUCGAGUGGUAACCGUUAUUAUUGGGUCUAAAGGGUCUGUAGCCGGCCGGAUAAGUCUCUUGAGAAAUCUGGCAGCUUAACUGUCAGGCUUUCAGGAGAUACUGUCUGGCUCGAGGCCGGGAGAGGUGAGAGGUACUUCAGGGGUAGGGGUGAAAUCUUGUAAUCCUUGAAGGACCACCAGUGGCGAAGGCGUCUCACCAGAACGGACCUGACGGCAAGGGACGAAAGCUAGGGGCACGAACCGGAUUAGAUACCCGGGUAGUCCUAGCCGUAAACGAUACUCGCUAGGUGUCGGCCACGGUGUGACCGUUGUCGGUGCCGUAGGGAAGCCGUGAAGCGAGCCACCUGGGAAGUACGGCCGCAAGGCUGAAACUUAA
This 659-nucleotide ribosomal RNA is filed under the name uncultured archaeon. Its description in RNAcentral is "bacterial SSU rRNA". It matches the Rfam family "Archaeal small subunit ribosomal RNA", at positions 200 to 859 of the family's 1478-position model. The record is from RNAcentral.